UCUCCGUUGGUGAACCAGCGGAGGGAUCAUUACAGGACUCGCAAGACUCCUACAACCCUGUGAACUUAACUAUAAGCACGUUGCUUCGGCGGGUGUCUCGGAGGGGGUUAUCCCUCCCCAAUACGCUAAACCCGCCGGCAGCCUACUAUACUCUGUCUCUUUGCGUUGGCAUCUCGAGUACAAUCAAACAAGUUAAAACUUUCAACAACGGAUCUCUUGGUUCUG
RNAcentral lists this unclassified non-coding RNA (225 nucleotides) under plant metagenome. Its description in RNAcentral is "partial contains small subunit ribosomal RNA, internal transcribed spacer 1, and 5.8S ribosomal RNA". The record is from RNAcentral.